GUGAGGAAUAUUGGUCAAUGGACGCAAGUCUGAACCAGCCAUGCCGCGUGCAGGAUGACGGCUCUAUGAGUUGUAAACUGCUUUUGUACGAGGGUAAACGCAGAUACGUGUAUCUGUCUGAAAGUAUCGUACGAAUAAGGAUCGGCUAACUCCGUGCCAGCAGCCGCGGUAAUACGGAGGAUUCAAGCGUUAUCCGGAUUUAUUGGGUUUAAAGGGUGCGUAGGCGGUUUGAUAAGUUAGAGGUGAAAUUUCGGGGCUCAACCCUGAACGUGCCUCUAAUACUGUUGAGCUAGAGAGUAGUUGCGGUAGGCGGAAUGUAUGGUGUAGCGGUGAAAUGCUUAGAGAUCAUACAGAACACCGAUUGCGAAGGCAGCUUACCAAACUAUAUCUGACGUUGAGGCACGAAAGCGUGGGGAGCAAACAGGAUUAGAAACCCCAGUAGUCC
RNAcentral lists this ribosomal RNA (445 nucleotides) under uncultured bacterium. RNAcentral describes it as "bacterial SSU rRNA". It matches the Rfam family "Bacterial small subunit ribosomal RNA", at positions 354 to 796 of the family's 1533-position model. The record is from RNAcentral.